AGAUCUCCCACAGGUAUUGCCUUCACCCCAAUAGUCCAAUAGCAAACUUGUAAGUCACUGUUCAGGUUGGCUGUGAAACCCUGUCACUGAACUGGCAUGGGAAGUUCUCGCGCCAACAGGGUGAGGAGCCUUCUUUGCCAUCUGCUCAGCAAUUGACAGUUUGAAUGGCCUGGAAUGAGCUCAGCUCCACAGAGCCAGCUUGUGUCAGGGCUGAGCCUGAGCCCAGAUCUUCUUGAAUUGGAGGCAGCUCUCUGCCUGUGAUGCCACCCUUAUCAAAGGUAAGAAAAAAGGUAAUGCGAGAUGGAAGGGGACAGAGGCAAAGGAAAUCGUGAAACAAACUGAUCUCGGUGCCCGUUUUCUCAUCAGUCAAUGGAUUGAAGUUGAAGACUCGAGCUGCUAUCUGGGGUGAAGGAGAUGUUGGAGAUGAGUGUGACUCAGGGGGCAAUGGAGCCCUGUUAUGUCAGAACCCCCCAAAUCAAGAUUACAUGAGGUGGAUGGGGGGCAAGCUUGUAAAAGAGUGGUAG
This 524-nucleotide long non-coding RNA is filed under the name Monodelphis domestica (gray short-tailed opossum). RNAcentral describes it as "lncRNA (ENSMODG00000035525.2)". The record is from RNAcentral. Lineage: Eukaryota; Metazoa; Chordata; Mammalia; Didelphimorphia; Didelphidae.